Molecule: transfer RNA, 69 nt
Filed under: Ictidomys tridecemlineatus (thirteen-lined ground squirrel)
Lineage: Eukaryota; Metazoa; Chordata; Mammalia; Rodentia; Sciuridae
Description: Spermophilus tridecemlineatus (thirteen-lined ground squirrel) tRNA
Rfam family: tRNA
About the family: Transfer RNA (tRNA) molecules are approximately 80 nucleotides in length. Their secondary structure includes four short double-helical elements and three loops (D, anti-codon, and T loops).
Source: Rfam by way of RNAcentral
GGGGUUGUGGCUCAGCAGUAGAGCACUCGCCUAGCACGUGUGCGACCCUGUGUUCAAUCCUCAGCACCA